Molecule: ribosomal RNA, 253 nt
Filed under: uncultured bacterium
Lineage: Bacteria
Description: partial 16S ribosomal RNA
Rfam family: Bacterial small subunit ribosomal RNA
Source: RNAcentral
GACGAACCGUGCGAACGUUGUUCGGAAUCACUGGGCUUAAAGGGCGCGUAGGCGGCCGCGCAAGUCGGGGGUGAAAUCUUUCGGCUCAACCGGAAAAGUGCCUCCGAUACCGCGCGGCUCGAGGGGGGUAGGGGCGGACGGAACUUCCGGUGGAGCGGUGAAAUGCGUUGAUAUCGGAAGGAACGCCGGUGGCGAAAGCGGUCCGCUGGGCCCCUUCUGACGCUGAGGCGCGAAAGCCAGGGGAGCAAACGGG